GGACUAGUUGUAGAAUUCGGUGAGAAAGUGUUCGACAUGUCAAUUAAGACCAGAGCACGACAGAUGGAGAGGUUCUUGCGAGAACCUGCAAACCUCCACAGCCUCUGAAAAGAGCCAUUUUUAUCUUCUGGGGACACCAUCUUCCUGCUUUAAGCUACCAUUUUUCAUCCAUGAAAGAGAACUUUGGAAUUUUCCUCCCUUUUGUUUUUG
Molecule: unclassified non-coding RNA, 210 nt
Filed under: Hevea brasiliensis (rubber tree)
Lineage: Eukaryota; Viridiplantae; Streptophyta; Magnoliopsida; Malpighiales; Euphorbiaceae
Source: RNAcentral